Long non-coding RNA from Rhinopithecus roxellana (golden snub-nosed monkey), 1125 nucleotides. RefSeq lists it as uncharacterized. The record is from RefSeq and is a predicted model, not a curated record. NCBI's taxonomy places the organism in Eukaryota, Metazoa, Chordata, Mammalia, Primates, Cercopithecidae. The transcript is spliced from 5 exons.
GCUCUAGGAGCCCGGCAGGCCCGAGCAGGUGGCGGCCCCGUGUUCCGGAAGCCCGGCCCCGAGCGUUGUGAGGGGCACCUGGGGACGCUCAGCGAGUGUCUGUCCCGGCCCUGAGCUCGGUGGAAGACUGCAGAGUCCUGGGCCCGCGAGAAUUCCGGCAGAAUCAGGCCUCUGGACGCUCCAGGGAUGUGUCCUGGUUCCCUGGCUGUUAUUACGAAGCAGCAGUUCAGAUCCGUGGAACUUCUCGACUGUUCUGCCUCACGGUGACUUGAUCCAUCAGCUGAACAGUACAGCAUCUGAUUAAAUUUUAGAGAGAUUGUGCAUGCAGCUCUGGCUGUGGACCUGUGGCAUCGUGAUGACCUGGGAUCAUCAGGUAGCAGAAGGCCAUUCCCUUUGGUGCCUCUCAUUCCCUGUGUGCUGGCCAGCACAUCAUUACGCCUGAUGGAAGGCUCUGCCAGGCCCUUCCCCACCGAGGGCCUCAUCAAGCUUCCUUGACAGGUGGAGGUGAAGGUCAAGUGCAGAGCCCUCCUGGCACAUCCAGUGCUCUCUCUGUCAUGGAGAGGGCUGAGGAGGGAGAAUGGUGCUUCCAGGAAAGCAGAGCUGAGGCCCGCUGGACUCCAGGCAGCUCUCUGCUCUCCUUGCCUUUUGCCUCAGAUUUUUGCAUGUCAGUCGGUCUGGAGAGGAGCCGAUGCUCUGAAGGUGCUGCCUGGCUCUGAACUAUGGAAGCCAAGAGCUCUGGUGGGGUAGGAACUGAGGGUCCACUACAUUUGCCCCAAGAAGAACAUCCUUGCUGGCCUCGCUGAGGGAGCCUGGCACGUGUCAUGCUUGACAAUUGUUUUCAUGAGACUCCCCUGCUUUGACGGCGACAGGGCACGGGGCCCUGAAUGCAUGAUAACAACAACUGCAGGUCCCCUGACCCUUGUUUGUAGAGGCGGGUCAUCUCUAGUACCGACCUCCAUCCACCUGAGAAGCAAGGCUGGCCACUUUGCCACCAGCCCCAGCCCUGCCCUGGAGGGAUCUGCAGUGUAAAGGCACCGUGUGAAUGCUGAUUGUUGCGAAGGCCCAAAUGUGGUCAAUUCAGUUAUUCAUACCAGGCAAGGAAGCUGCCUUAUGAAUAAUUCAGAG